UACGGAGGAUGCGAGCGUUAUCCGGAUUUAUCGGGUUUAAAGGGUGCGUAGGCGGGAUGCCAAGUCAGCGGUAAAAAUGCGGUGCUCAACGCCGUCGAGCCGUUGAAGCUGGCGUUCUUGAGUGGGCGAGAAGUAUGCGGAAUGCGUGGUGUAGCGGUGAAAUGCAUAGAUAUCACGCAGAACUCCGAUUGCGAAGGCAGCAUACCGGCGCCCUACUGACGCUGAGGCACGAAAGCGUGGGUAUCGAACAGG
RNAcentral lists this ribosomal RNA (252 nucleotides) under uncultured bacterium. RNAcentral describes it as "partial 16S ribosomal RNA". It matches the Rfam family "Bacterial small subunit ribosomal RNA", at positions 524 to 776 of the family's 1533-position model. The record is from RNAcentral.